CAGCUCCAGGGGGAGGUCUUUGUCCACGCCAUUCCCAACACAGCAUCGCAGCGCUCCAAGGGCAGCGCCUUGCAGCGAGGUGGGGCCUGAGCUGUGGGGGAAAGUGCUCCAACCAACAGGCUCCAGUCAGACGUGGCUUUGUUCACAGGAAUUCAUGCUGCGGUACCAGGGCCCGGCAAACUGCUGGAUUGGGCUGCACAGGGAAGAAGGGGACGAGCACUGGACAUGGCCCGAUGGCAGCGCCUUCACCAACUGGUUCCAGGUGCGAGGCGGAGGCCGAUGUGCGUACCUGAACGGGGAUAGGAUCAGCUCAAGUCUCUGCCACAUACAAAAAUACUGGGUGUGCAGCAGAGCCGACAGCUACGUCCUCUGGAGGGAGGAGACAGAUCCACAGUGACACAUCCCAUCCACAGUGUGUUGGUUCCAGUGCUGCUGGACACUGCCAUGCUAUCAGUGUGUACUUGAAUCUGCCUCUUUCCUGCACUUCUGGACUUGUUCCUGCAUGAAAGCAUGUGGGAAGUAUUUGAUGGACCGUGGGCAUAUUUAUUAGAACAUGCUCGAGUAAUCCCUGGAUUGUCCUUGGACGCCUGAGACGAAUGAUAAAUUGCCUUUCAUCCCACUAGUCAGGAUUUUAGAAAUAUGACCGUGCCUCUCUAGAGACAAAGGCACACGCGAUCUUACUUUGAUUCCACAUGUGAUUCUGAUACAGGAUUCUGGAGUAUUGCCCAACAGAUUUUUAGUUCACUGGUCCCUUCAAUUGGCACCUAUCUCAGGGGCCCAAAUGCCCCUCACUAAAGAAUGAUCUUGGGAUGGAACAAAGUAUUCUGAUAGUUUUAAGGGAACUGAUAGUUGUGUCUAUAGCUGCAAAUAUUUUAUUUUGUAGAGAGAGCUGACCUUGGUAGUUUAUUUUGCUUUGCAAACAGGUGUUCCACUUGGGCUCUGUAUCACGCACUGGCCAUGCGGGUUCAGCGUGCAAGUGGAACAAACCCUGCAGGCCCUGGGCAGAAUCAAAGCAGGAGAGAGUCUGUGAUGGGUGAGAGAGGAGAAGUGCACUUUGAAGCAGGGGACGCCCUGCUGGCACUGCCCAUCGCAUCCACCGCCAGCACGGUCCUUCUCUCUCCUUUCUGGUGGUUUGCCGCCUUUCAAGGUUACAGGUCCACACAGAAUGGGACCCUCAGGGAUUCUUUUCCAGGUUGCAGAAACUUGGGCCAAACAAGUGUUUGUUCUUCUUAAUGGGUUUCACAGUAUUUCUUGUCAUUAUGCGAUGUUUGCCUUGUCUCUUCUCUUACAUUUAGCGUGUUAUCAAUCGAGGCCUUGAUUGAGUUAUGAUGGUUAUAUUAUUAAUAUGAUUAGUGCUAUUAUUUUAUAGAAUAGUUAUAGUUUGCUAAUUAAAAAAAAAAAGGGGGAAUUGUGGAGAAGUAUUUGAUGGACAAUGGGCAUCUUUAUUAAGACAUGCUCGAGUAAUCCCUGGAGUGUCCUUGGAGGCCUGAAAUGAGGAACAGCUGCUGUGUUGCAAGGUCGAACAGCUACGCCUCCAGGUUGUGCUUUACGGGACUGCUAACCACUCUCUAACUGCAAGAAUGCCUACGUGAUGAUAUCUGCUGUCCAAUUAGCAGCGUUGUAGCGCGCAACGCCUACAUAAUGCUCUAUAAAUGUUGUAGUCGAAUUGCAAUAAAUUAAGCACUAUGCAACA
Molecule: long non-coding RNA, 1693 nt
Organism: Numida meleagris (helmeted guineafowl)
Lineage: Eukaryota; Metazoa; Chordata; Aves; Galliformes; Numididae
Source: Ensembl